AAGCUCUCGGCAGCCAAAGAGGUGUUUGCUCGGUGGUUCAUUAAGAUCCCCUGCAGCUUUGUCAUCACGGCAGUUAUUCAUCCACACAGUUCGUUCGUACGGUGGCAAUCGGAUGGGAGCAGCACGCACAGUCGACGGAAUGGCUUUAAUCUUGUCAACUUGUCGAUUAUUAGACAUGCACGACCAUACAAGAGUGUGCCGACAACAAGACGAGACGCCCAAGACGACAGGCGUGGUUUAGAAGAGACUGAUGACUGCGUCUCUCGCCCUGCUUCACCACGCUCCCCGUACGCUUUUUCUUCCUCGGCUCUGUCCAGGCGGGUUGCGAGCAGAACCCACUGCUGUAUUAUGUAACAUUCCAGGAAUAAAUGGCUCGAGACGGAGUGUGAAAACCUCAUCUCAGUUUGCAGGUGGUUUGUUAAAGUAGACAUUUUCAUCAGGAAAUCCAGCCAGGAACCCAUGUGAUUACAACAUCUUUGCUCUUGCUGUUGUUGUGUGUGUGUGUGGGAGAUGUGUGUACAUUGAAGUGCGAGGGGAGUCUCUUUGCAUGUGUGUGUGUGUGCGCGAGAGAGUGUUUGUCACAUCAACACUGAGAUUCACAAGUUUUUCUUUCGGAGAUUUCACAUUUUUACACAUUUCCCACUUUCUUCGAGUGCUGUUGUUGAUGGCUCGGCAGGUCUGGAUAAAUACAAGAAUUCUGACCUUCACUGUGUCCCAAACAAACAAGAUUUCCCUCAGAUGUUUCCACAGCUUUGGACGUGGCUCCACUGGCAUUCAAAACCAGGACCGGUUUAACAAAGCUAUGAAGGCCACGCAUGUCAACACAUUCCUUACCAGAAGCUUCAGUUUUAAUUUCAGAUGAAGUUUGGGGUGGUUUGCUACCAGGGAAGACUCAAAGGGCAAUAAACAUAUCUGCAAUUUUUUGUAAAGAUUGGCUCUUUUUAAUAAUCUCAGAAUGCCUUGCUGCCAUCUCUGUAUAUCACGGCCCUGAAUAUGCUUAAACUGGAACUGGUUUCAUCAGCUGCUUUCUGAAUUUGAAUAAUGUAUAAAGGGCUUCAUCUUGGAUGAAGAGCUGUAAUGGUUGUGAACACAUACAGCAGAGGAAGGAGCUUUUAAACCUCACUCGCUAAGAGCCCGAGAAGAGGCUUCCUGGAAAAACACUCCAGUGAAUGAAACCCUCUUUUUAAUUUUAAGGGAAAGAACACAUCUGUAGCUUGGUAAAUGUGCCCUGCUGGAGGGGUUUUGUUAAACUCGUUUUUAACUGGUGCACAAUUAAGAACAAUGAAUGAGGAAUGAGGGCUAAUCAAACCUUUAGUUGGCAGGAUCCCAGUCUUGUGUGUAAACCUCUGCUCACCUCAAUCUCCUCUCCUCAUGGGUCGCCUUGCCCUGUUUGUUUUGUUAUGCCAUGUGCUCGUUGUUUGGAUUGGCGGUCCUGCCUCCAGACUCCUCCCACGGCCACACCCCUGAUUGGGGCACAGCUGUUACCGCCAGCAGUAUAUCAACCCCUGGUCCUGCAGACCUGGGUUCGUCAGUCUGUGUCAUCUUCGGCUCUGGUGGGCUUCGCCACCAUGCAGCAGGUCGCUUGUUGCCUGCUCGUGGACUAUUUCGCUCUUCUCUCUCGGCGUCCAGCACCUGACCGAUUGACCGGCCCUCAUGUGUCCGACCUCAGGCUCCACAUUCCCGCCCUCUCAGGGGUUGAAAUAAAAGCUGUAUACCUGA
Gasterosteus aculeatus aculeatus (three-spined stickleback) is the source of this 1719-nucleotide long non-coding RNA. Lineage: Eukaryota; Metazoa; Chordata; Actinopteri; Perciformes; Gasterosteidae. The record is from Ensembl.